UGCAGUCGAGCGGUAAGGCCUUUCGGGGUACACGAGCGGCGAACGGGUGAGUAACACGUGGGUGAUCUGCCCUGCACUUCGGGAUAAGCCUGGGAAACUGGGUCUAAUACCGGAUAUGACCUCCUAUCGCAUGGUGGGUGGUGGAAAGAUUUAUCGGUGCAGGAUGGGCCCGCGGCCUAUCAGCUUGUUGGUGGGGUAAUGGCCUACCAAGGCGACGACGGGUAGCCGACCUGAGAGGGUGACCGGCCACACUGGGACUGAGACACGGCCCAGACUCCUACGGGAGGCAGCAGUGGGGAAUAUUGCACAAUGGGCGAAAGCCUGAUGCAGCGACGCCGCGUGAGGGAUGACGGCCUUCGGGUUGUAAACCUCUUUCAGCAGGGACGAAGCGCAAGUGACGGUACCUGCAGAAGAAGCACCGGCUAACUACGUGCCAGCAGCCGCGGUAAUACGUAGGGUGCAAGCGUUGUCCGGAAUUACUGGGCGUAAAGAGUUCGUAGGCGGUUUGUCGCGUCGUUUGUGAAAACCAGCAGCUCAACUGCUGGCUUGCAGGCGAUACGGGCAGACUUGAGUACUGCAGGGGAGACUGGAAUUCCUGGUGUAGCGGUGAAAUGCGCAGAUAUCAGGAGGAACACCGGUGGCGAAGGCGGGUCUCUGGGCAGUAACUGACGCUGAGGAACGAA
RNAcentral lists this ribosomal RNA (683 nucleotides) under Rhodococcus sp. M67C1a. RNAcentral's name for it is "bacterial SSU rRNA". It matches the Rfam family "Bacterial small subunit ribosomal RNA", at positions 56 to 757 of the family's 1533-position model. Lineage: Bacteria; Bacillati; Actinomycetota; Actinomycetes; Mycobacteriales; Nocardiaceae. The record is from RNAcentral.